Oncorhynchus gorbuscha (pink salmon) is the source of this 299-nucleotide long non-coding RNA. RefSeq lists it as uncharacterized. The transcript is spliced from 3 exons. The record is from RefSeq and is a predicted model, not a curated record. NCBI's taxonomy places the organism in Eukaryota, Metazoa, Chordata, Actinopteri, Salmoniformes, Salmonidae.
GUCAGAGGGGAGCGGGAGUAGAAGUGACAGUUAAAUCAAAUGAAAUAGACCUUGAACUGUUAUCCUGGAUCGAGCUGUCUGACAGUUCUUUGUGUGGAGAUCUCAGAAAUGCAGUGGAACUACAUAACAUUUCGCGUCUCCUUAUGUUACGGGGUGAACACUGUUUUCAUUGGCACACAUUUGGAGGCCCGUUGAAGCGUGUGAUACAUCGUAUUCUGAGUGUGUCCCGCCACGUCUUCAAAGUCAAGCGCUGGAAAGAAGGUCAGGGUCUUGUAAGAUUCAACACAGAAAGCAUCAAG